This 239-nucleotide ribosomal RNA is filed under the name uncultured bacterium. RNAcentral describes it as "partial 16S ribosomal RNA". It matches the Rfam family "Bacterial small subunit ribosomal RNA", at positions 15 to 245 of the family's 1533-position model. The record is from RNAcentral.
GAUCAGGCUCAGGAUUAACGCUAGCGACAGGCUUAACACAUGCAAGUCGAGGGGCAGCAUAAUUUGUAGCAAUACAGAUUGAUGGCGACCGGCGCACGGGUGAGUAACGCGUAUGCAACUUACCUAUCAGAGGGGGAUAGCCCGGCGAAAGUCGGAUUAAUACCCCAUAAAACAGGGGUCCCNCAUGGGAAUAUUUGUUAAAGAUUCAUCGCUGAUAGAUAGGCAUGCGUUCCAUUAGG